UACUCGAGUGGCGAACGGGUGAGUAACACGUGGGUGACCUGCCCUGCACUUCGGGAUAAGCUUGGGAAACUGGGUCUAAUACCGGAUAGGAGCCAUCUUUAGUGUGGUGGUUGGAAAGUUUUUUCGGUGUAGGAUGAGCUCGCGGCCUAUCAGCUUGUUGGUGGGGUAAUGGCCUACCAAGGCGGCGACGGGUAGCCGGCCUGAGAGGGUGUACGGCCACAUUGGGACUGAGAUACGGCCCAG
This 243-nucleotide ribosomal RNA is filed under the name uncultured Actinomycetales bacterium. RNAcentral describes it as "partial 16S ribosomal RNA". It matches the Rfam family "Bacterial small subunit ribosomal RNA", at positions 88 to 334 of the family's 1533-position model. The record is from RNAcentral. Lineage: Bacteria; Bacillati; Actinomycetota; Actinomycetes; Actinomycetales.